Molecule: long non-coding RNA, 746 nt
Organism: Monopterus albus (swamp eel)
Lineage: Eukaryota; Metazoa; Chordata; Actinopteri; Synbranchiformes; Synbranchidae
Exons: 3
Source: RefSeq, a predicted model, not a curated record
AUAAUGUGAAAGCGCUUUGAGUGUGCUGUAAGAGCAUAGAAAGGCGCUAUACAAAUAUAAGACCAUUUAGGGUGUACCCCAUCUUAGUAGUUUAAUCAAUGCAUCAUAUUUUUUAGGAUCAUCAUAUGCUUUGUAUAUAAAAUAACUACAGUACAGCUGUCAAAUAAAUGUAGUAGAGUAAAAAGCACAGUAUUUCCCUCUGAAAUAUAGUGAUGCAAAAGUAUAAAGUGGCAUGAAAUGGAAACACGCAAGUCCAAGUACAUCAAAACUGUACUUCAGGACAGUAUGUGAGUAAAUGGACUUUGUUACCUUCCUCUGCUGGUUUUGCUUGUUUUGCAUUUGAAGUGUAACAUUGCGAACUAGUUUGAGUGUUGGGUUUUUACGAGUGCACCCACCUGAUUCUAAUGUCUGUUUUUCCCUUUGUUUCUUCCUCUUUCUGGAGAGUCACAGUCCUCCUGUGAGACCCCUCCUUGUUCCCCAUCCUCCCCUUGGUGUACACCCUCUGGAGGAUUUUAGGACUCUGGAAAAAAGUCAAGGUGGUCUAUUAUUACAAGACAUCACUGUCAAUUGAGAACCAUCUAUUUAUUUCCAAAUUAGGGGAAGCCCAAGCUGUGGACAGCAGUGGAAAUGAGCUCGGCCGUGCAGUAAGUGUGGCGACCUUGUGGCUAACCCCAUGCUGUUUCCACCGCUCUCCCCACUAAAUGAUGCCUACUGUAUCCUGCUCAGGAGGUGGAGGAAGACAGAGC